GGCGACGCGUGGUGAUUCCCGGCAGGGAUAUAUCGACAUAACGAGUAUUUAAUAACCAUUUAAUCUAUUUAAGUUACGACGAGUAAGUAAAGUAGAGAUAGCCCAUUAAAGUGUGUAGCAAAGCGGAGCAGAGUAUAUUGCUUCCGUCCAUCCGUGAAACUGUUCGUGUUUGUUCGUACAACCGCUGUGGGUGGAUGGAUGACGAAGGAAACGACGACGACAACGUAAAGAUGGCGAGGCGGCGCUAGUAGAAAUACCAAUCAUUUCGCGCCAUGAGUCGGCUGGUUCCCAUUGCCAGUGAGGAUACCGUGGCCUGUUGUAAACAUUGAUCUUAACAAGUUGUAUCUGGGUAACCCUUCCAAUAUUCACCACCCCCGACAAGUCUCCUACCCAACCCGAGCUUGUGAUUACGCUGGCAUCAGCAUAUAGCUAGUGGGAACCAUUCUUUCCCCGCUUACAAUCUGUACACCAGUGAAGAUGUUCCUGCCAACGGAUGACGAGUGUGCUGCUGACGGCCAGCGACGGGAACAAUUAUUAAACCAUUUUCUUUCUACUCUGCCGGGCGGUGCAGUCCGAUUUUUGGCACCAAAGCUUCCGUCGCUUACUGAUAGCAGUGCACCACUGUGGAAAAUCACUUCAUACACCCGAUUCGACGGACAUUGUACCUGGAAAGGGCGGAACAACAGCGGUUACCUUGUUUCAACCAGAGCGAGUUCGGUCCGCUGGUGCAUGCCCAGUCGCGGUCCAAGCAAGGCCGAAGGUGCUGACGAAGGUUGAGCAGUAGUAUU
Molecule: long non-coding RNA, 788 nt
Organism: Topomyia yanbarensis
Lineage: Eukaryota; Metazoa; Arthropoda; Insecta; Diptera; Culicidae
Exons: 3
Source: RefSeq, a predicted model, not a curated record